This 538-nucleotide long non-coding RNA is filed under the name Carassius auratus (goldfish). RNAcentral's name for it is "lncRNA (ENSCARG00000067619.1)". The record is from RNAcentral. Lineage: Eukaryota; Metazoa; Chordata; Actinopteri; Cypriniformes; Cyprinidae.
UUGAUAAUUGGAAAAUUAGGAUUGGCGCUGUUCAUUAGAUUUAAUCUUAUUAUUCCCUUACAGACCAUUAAACUGAUGAUGGCAUAUUGUCAAGAGAAGAAAUCAUCAGGAAUGAGCUGACCUCACAUGUUCACACUUACACUGAUAACGAGAAGUCUGGAAGCGUAUGGAGAAAAUCAUUUCAGAGUUUGAAGGCAGAAAUGACUACUGAUUCACUGGAUGAGAUGCUGUUUUCCUGAUAGCUCCCCUGGCUAAAGCCCACUAUUACAGAAGAUGAGACUUGGCCAACCACAAUCGCCUCCCAAGUGAUGUCUCACCUCUGCAUAAUACCGGAACAGACUGGGCUGAGAUGAUCCGUCUCCACCGGCCCGUCGCUGUCGCUCUCCAGGGAGGCUAAUUAUGGGAUUGAGAGAGUCAUAUCAGCUGGAUAUCAUGACAAUGCUCUGUUUUCAUGAGUUCUGAGAGGCCAUACUUUGAAUAUUCCAGCAUGACAGGGAACGAUCAAAUAGGACUUUCUGUCCUGGCAACCUGUGCUUAA